AACGAACGCUGGCGGCAUGCCUAACACAUGCAAGUCGAACGAGACCUUCGGGUCUAGUGGCGCACGGGUGCGUAAGGCGUGGGAACCUGCCGUUAGGUUCGGAAUAACUCGCCGAAAGGGGUGCUAAUACCGGAUAAUGUCUCCGGACCAAAGAUUUAUCGCCUUUGGAUGGGCCCGCGUUGGAUUAGCUAGUUGGUAGGGUAAAAGCCUACCAAGGCGACGAUCCAUAGCUGGUCUGAGAGGAUGAUCAGCCACACUGGGACUGAGACACGGCCCAGACUCCUACGGGAGGCAGCAGUGGGGAAUAUUGGACAAUGGGCGAAAGCCUGAUCCAGCAAUGCCGCGUGAGUGAUGAAGGCCUUAGGGUUGUAAAGCUCUUUUACCCGGGAUGAUAAUGACAGUACCGGGAGAAUAAGCUCCGGCUAACUCCGUG
RNAcentral lists this ribosomal RNA (433 nucleotides) under uncultured bacterium. RNAcentral's name for it is "partial 16S ribosomal RNA". It matches the Rfam family "Bacterial small subunit ribosomal RNA", at positions 29 to 507 of the family's 1533-position model. The record is from RNAcentral.